Molecule: non-coding RNA, 183 nt
Filed under: Hyella patelloides LEGE 07179
Lineage: Bacteria; Bacillati; Cyanobacteriota; Cyanophyceae; Pleurocapsales; Pleurocapsaceae
Description: Hyella sp. LEGE 07179 6S / SsrS RNA
Rfam family: 6S / SsrS RNA
About the family: E. coli 6S RNA was the first non coding RNA to be sequenced, but its function was unknown until recently. It consists of 184 nucleotides that fold into an extended hairpin structure with a large single-stranded internal bulge.
Source: Rfam by way of RNAcentral
GUUAUGCUACUACGUUGGUGACUGCUGGCAUAGUUUAUGAUCUAUGCUUGAUUUAUUAGGGCAUUCGCUUGAGUUUUUUGAAAGUAAACCGAGCCUGGACUCGGAAAUAGACAUUUAACUCGCGAGUACCCACCUGGUUUUACCAGGUCGUAAACUACGGUAAGACGGCGUAGCGGUUAACUA